Molecule: unclassified non-coding RNA, 139 nt
Filed under: soil metagenome
Description: partial internal transcribed spacer 1
Source: RNAcentral
UCAAAACAGCGGCCUUCGGGCCUCGCUGCACCCUUGUCUUUUGUGCACCGUAUUGUUUCCUCGGCGGGCUUGCCUGCCGGUUGGACAUCAUAAAACCUCUUUGUAGUUGCAAUCAGCGUCAGAAAAACAAUAAUUAUUA